CAAGGUGCUGCAUGGUUGUCGUCAGCUCGUGCCGUGAGGUGUCAGGUUAAGUCCUAUAACGAGCGCAACCCCUAUCGUUAGUUGCCAGCGGGUCAUGCCGGGAACUCUAAUGAGACUGCCGGUGCAAACCGAGAGGAAGGUGGGGAUGACGUCAAAUCAUCACGGCCCUUACGUCCUGGGCCACACACGUGCUACAAUGGCCGGUACAGAGAGCAGCCACUACGCGAGUAGGAGCGAAUCUUCAAAACCGGUCUCAGUUCGGAUCGCAGUCUGCAACUCGACUGCGUGAAGCUGGAAUCGCUAGUAAUCGGAUAUCAGCCAUGAUCCGGUGAAUACGUUCCCGGG
Molecule: ribosomal RNA, 345 nt
Filed under: uncultured Bacteroidota bacterium
Lineage: Bacteria; Pseudomonadati; Bacteroidota
Description: bacterial SSU rRNA
Rfam family: Bacterial small subunit ribosomal RNA
Source: RNAcentral